RNAcentral lists this ribosomal RNA (498 nucleotides) under uncultured bacterium. RNAcentral's name for it is "partial 16S ribosomal RNA". It matches the Rfam family "Bacterial small subunit ribosomal RNA", at positions 30 to 523 of the family's 1533-position model. The record is from RNAcentral.
AUUGAACGCUGGCGGCAUGCCUUACACAUGCAAGUCGAACGGUAACAGGUCUUCGGAUGCUGACGAGUGGCGAACGGGUGAGUAAUACAUCGGAACGUGCCUAGUAGUGGGGGAUAACUACUCGAAAGAGUGGCUAAUACCGCAUGAGAUCUACGGAUGAAAGCAGGGGAUCGCGAGGCCUUGUGCUACUAGAGCGGCCGAUGGCAGAUUAGGUAGUUGGUGGGAUAAAAGCUUACCAAGCCGACGAUCUGUAGCUGGUCUGAGAGGACGAUCAGCCACACUGGGACUGAGAAACGGCCCAGACUCCUACGGGAGGCAGCAGUGGGGAAUUUUGGACAAUGGGCGCAAGCCUGAUCCAGCAAUGCCGCGUGCAGGAUGAAGGCCUUCGGGUUGUAAACUGCUUUUGUACGGAACGAAAAGCCCCGGGUUAAUACCCUGGGGUCAUGACGGUACCGUAAGAAUAAGCACCGGCUAACUACGUGCCAGCAGCCGCGGUAA